Molecule: long non-coding RNA, 7106 nt
Organism: Dromaius novaehollandiae (emu)
Lineage: Eukaryota; Metazoa; Chordata; Aves; Casuariiformes; Dromaiidae
Exons: 13
Source: RefSeq, a predicted model, not a curated record
CUGGUAUUAAAAGCAUCUCUGAAGUAGUUACUUGAUAAAUCUUGCUUCAAUUUCAGAGUUAAGCUGAUUGCUGGAUAGUGAAUUGGGAAGGGAUCAGAUUACAGGAUUUCUAACUGCAGUAACAUGAGGUGUGGUAUGUUUGCUAGUGUCAUUUGGAUAUUUUUGCCUAUCAAUUUCCCUACAAUUUAGGAUGCCACUGCUCUCUCCUCUCUUUUGCGACAUGCUAUUUUGUGGCUUUUGAGUUUUGUACAAGAGCUCUUGAAGCUUGUUAGAGGGUGUGGGUGAGAGUUGUUUUGUGGCUGGUGGAGAGUGGAGCAGAUGCUCUGUGGACCCUUCUUUGUAGGGCUCGGUCUGGGCUGUUGUGUGUCUUCACAGUGUAUCCAAAUUACCCCCUCAUCUUUCUUUCCUGUUGUUUUCCAAAUGUUGCAGUUCUGAAGAAAAUCUUCAAAAUAAGAACAGGUUCCUUGGCUGAACAUAAAGCUGUGUUGUUAAGGAACAUUUCAGCAGGAUAUUUUGCCUUUCCAUGCUGUGUCCAGAAGCACCCUCUGCUUGAGUGAGGUGCCCAGGCCAGCGAUGAAGGUUUCUCUCUGGGCAAAAUCUCUUAUUUCACAAGUGCCUACAAGGUUUGCAAGAAUCUGCCGCUGCCCAAAAGAAUGAAGCCCUGUUUAGUGACUGGAGGAAGGAGCUCACAAGGACUCUUGUCUGAUGUCUUCGUUAAUUUUUGCUUUACUAGAGAGAGGCACUUUAUAAUCUACCUCGGGCCAGGAGGUCUAAUUAUGGAAGAUGCUGAAGUGGGAUCCGGGAAGGCUGCGUUCAGAGUCCUGCUGUUUGCGGCUGUUGACCGUUCCGAGGCAAUGGAAUUGGUUUUUACUUCGCUCUGAAUUUUAUGGUUAGACGUUCCCCGUCAGCGACCCACACCGGUGAGGGGACAGGGGCCACAAGAGCUGGAAGGGCAGCCGGGGAGAGAGAGAGUGCUGCUGCUUUCUUUUCUCCUUGCUCGGUGCCUACGAGCAAAAGCAACGCUGCAGCGACACAACACGAGAGCAGCUCUAAGGAAACGCUCCUGCGAACAAGCGUAAAUGCCUCAAAAAACGUGCUGCUGCCGGAGAGCCGAGAGGCCCUGGGUGAGGCUCAGAAAGGAGCAGAUAAAGUCUAGCUUUGGAGAAUGUGCAGAGGCAAGAUUUCAUUUUGCGAACUGGAAAAGACUGAAGCUCAAUUACAGAUGGCAGGCAACCCACUCAGAAGUAGCAGUGAAAACCUGGAUCCCAGUGAUUUCCAAUGCAUGGUUUUAGACCCUUGAAAUACUGGAGGCGACUCUUCAGCAAGAGGACCAAAUCCCUGCCCUAAAUACAGCGAUAGUCUUUGGGGUGUCUCGACCACGCUCUCAUAGUCGCUUUGCCUUCAUAAAGGAUGCGUGUUUGUCAGGCUCGAAAGACUCCGCGCCUCCAGAAGCAUCAUCCAGUGACGCCAGGCAAUGGGAAAGAAUGGAAAAACCAGAGAUGGGAUGAAGGCUGAGUUCCCACUCAACUCUGGGAAAUGGUCCCGCAGCCUCUGGACAGGGAGGAGGAAUCACCUCUGUUCCUUUGCGUCAGAUCGAGUAACUGCAGAACUGCUCAGACUGCUUUCAUUUCAGAACCUCUGUGUUUCAGCUGAGUUUCUCUAAUAGAGAUGCCACCGUGCUUUUUCACCAGAACUGUGUGAAACCCCCGGGUGUGUCGGAACAGAAGGAGCCCUGUCUCGGAGGCACACAGUGCAACAGGGAAGUGCUGAGUGAGGCGGGAGCCGCUCAGAUCUAGUGACACCUCUGUGCCUUGACUUGACCGGAGUGGCCUCAGGAGGCAAGAGUUCGCUUGCGGUUUGGAAAGGAAAUUGGAGAAGUCCCGUUCCUGCUCCACUUCUCAAAGCUGAAAUUGUCCAUCCUGCAGAGGAGGAGCUCCCUGAUGUUUGUCCGAGAUGCUGUAUAAACACUGCGAACAACUGCAGAAGCCUGAUAGGAACGUGCAAGCGGCUACAUGAUAGUGAGACCUUUCUGCCCAGUCUCCGAACGUAUGCAAUCACGGCAGCCGACAUCCAUCCACCCUCCUGCUGGCUGGGCGCACGGAGAGCCUGUGUCACGGGACGUGGUGGCACCAGGCAGCCCUGCAGGAACCACGGGCGUGAGUGUCUCCAGAGAAGAUGGCUCACUGGUGGGCAUGGCUUUUUGGCUGACAGGACUUCUUGGUCCCCCUGGCACCCUGGUUAUUCCCAAGAAGCUGCUGGUUGCUGUGAUGGAGAAAGCAGAAAUGGGGUGGCAAAAAAACCCCAAGGGUUUGGAAAAGGAGUCACCUAAAUUCAUCCCCCUAUUACAGCAAAUCAUGUUGGCCAUGGUGUAAACCAAGCUCACGUCUGGGUGAGGCACUACCCAUGUGUGGCUGCACCCUGCUCACGUCCGCGCGUGCAGGAUGUGUCCCUGUUCCUCCUCGGAGGGAGGUGGGAGGAGGGCUCAGCCGUGCUGAUCCGGUGCGUACCUGGACAGCUGGUGCAUCUCACGGUGCUUCAUUUUAAAGCUAUCCAUCAUGCUCGGGGGACUGCGUCCAGGCCCUGAAUUGCAGAACUGGCACCUUGGGAAGUGUUCAGCUGUGAAAAGUGACUUGGUAGGACAGCUUCGCCGUGUGGAAAUAAAAAUGCUUCGGCGCUCUUGUUUUUGAAAGGCAGGGUAAAUGGAAGAGGCCGAGUCGCCUCGCAGCGUGUUCAGCAGAUCUGCGCGUCUCCUGCGCUGAGGCGAGUCCGACCGAGGCAGAGACGUCGUUCCAGUGGGGCUGGGCAGACCAUCGCAGCUGCAAACGGGUCUGUCUGGAGAGGUGUCCUUUAGCACCACGUUGGGCUUCAGCCUCCCACCAGCGUGAAUCAGGGAGAAGAAACACAGACUCCUAGGCCUGAGCUGCAGGCUUUGGGGCUGAGGUUUUGGCUAUGGUGGGGUACCACGGUGCCCUCAGAUGGGAAGUUUCGGCUGGUCUGUUACUGGACACAGUGGGUCUAAUUCCUAAAAUUGCCUGAACACGGUGAUUUGGGAUCUGCACUGCCCGUUGAGCUGAGGGCAUCUUUUUGAGGUACCUGCUGACUUCAACGUGAUGAUUUGGAAGUGAAAUGAAGUUGGAUCAAGGACUAGUUGGUGAAUUUUUCCCUGGUUUUAUUCCCCAUACUUCAUUUUGCAUCAAUUUACAAAUUUGCAGGAGGAAUGGCUUGCAUAGAUACAACACAAGGCUUAAUUAGUGUGCAAAGUGCUUUGAGAUCCUUGACAAAAGGUGAAAUAGAUGCAGAGAGUUAUCUCUUCUCCUCCUCAGAGGCUGUAUGUCAGUAAUGGAUGAAGUGACCCCUAAAAUAUAAUAUUAAUUCUGCAAAGCACUUGGGGGUUCUUCUGAAUCAAAGGUGCUAUGCAAAUAUAUUCUCACUUUCCCUUACCAGUCCCUUUGAGCCAUCCAGUCCACCAUUAGUGGCGAUUCUCAUUUAAUCAGAAUUCAGCCUUCAAAUUUUCUGCAAGUCCAUAGAUAAAUAAAGCAGCAGCCUUAGUUGAUCAUUUAUUUAUAAAUCUAUUUAUAAUCUAUGUUUUGCAUAUUAAUCAAAACCACUCCAUGUGGCAAUUCCUGAUUAAGAACCAUUUUUAUGUCUAGUCUCUCUUGCCCCUAGAUAAUAUGUAAAGAAUUAGAUUAGAAAUAGUUUUUAUAAAUAAAUUAUGAUAAACUCCUGCUUUAUUUAUAUAGCCAGACAAAGGUGCUGCUCUUUCAAGCACUGCGUUUCUUCUUCCUUCUCCUCAUACUUCUAUCUCCCUGCCACGUGGUAAACUACAUUGGUCAUGGCACUCAGAGUGGUCCUUUAACUGGGGAGUCCUUGCUUUUGGGUGGAAAAAUGCCACUUGCCACCUAGGUGAGAUGGCCCAAGGCCUAACCCAAGGAUGUCAGAAGGAGCUGAGGAGUUUAAGCUACCUUUUCUUGCACACAAAAAAUAAAUGAAGUAAAGUUGAUAAAUUCAGGAAGCACCUUGCAAGGUUUUAGGCUGCACAGUGUGACCUUAUCUGCAGUUGGGAGAGAGAAGGAAAAGUGUUCGAAAUCAGAUGGAGAAAAAUCAGGAACUGUCUGAAUCUGCAACUGUACUACAGGACUAAAUGCAAACUAUCAGGCCCUGAGUAGGUGGUUGUUGUGUCCUUACUAAAUGACACCUCAAUGUUGUGUAAGUAAUUGGCUCAGCAAAAUAGUUAUCAUCUCUAAAUGUCUUCCUAGAGGCUCUGCCUAGGUCUGUUAAAGUAUAUGCAUUUGAGAAAUAGGGCAUUAGCACGCGUUCUUGUGGAAUAUAAUUGCAUGCUGAUAAUAUUGCAUGUGUAGCAUAUUUGAAUUGGCCUUGGUGGGACUACUCAAAUGUUUAAAUAGUUUUAAUUUAAUCUAGGGUUUUUUUUAAUCAAAGUUUUUAAUCUAGGGUUUUGGUUCUGUGCAUGUUACCUGUCAUGUAAGUGUUUUAGAUCGUCACAGAAUGCAAACGCGGUGCUGCAACAAGUUGGCAAGUUUUAAGAGAAAUUGUCAGCUAGCGUUAGGUCCUGGAGUCGUGUGUAUGGGUGAUUCAAAUUAAGCUUCUAGCCUAAAGGGCUGAACGGAAAAGUUUUACAACAAAACCUAAGUACGUUUUGAGGACAGGAAGAAAAAGAAACAAAGGAAAAAAAUCCCCAGAUUUCCUAGGUCAGGAUGAAAAAGAUAAGGAAUUAGAGUAUAACUAGGGCUGGGAGAUGUGGCUUCACUUCCUGUUCCUGCCACACUCUUGCGGUGCGACACUGAGCAAGACAAUUUUCUUUGUCUCUAUAAAGUGAGAAUAAUAACAAUUUCCUAUGUAAUGGGAGCGUAAGACAUUUAAAUAUUGCAGUGAAAAACCAUAGUUACUGAAGAGAGAAUUCUGGAUACAAGCAGAUGAUUCUGAAGAUUUUUACCAUGCACCUGAGACCUUACGGCAUGCCCAGUCAGCAGAGCUCUCACGCUGCAGGGUCAAUGUUUCCUAGAGUUUACAAAUAGUUCGUUUAACUGCAGCUUGCCUAAAGAAAACAACUGGAUGAUUUCUAUGUACAUGCUUGCGGACACUGACUUGUAAAUACAUAGUUUUGAGGUGCACGUUGUAUGUUUUAUUUCUAUUUUGUCACACUGUUUUUGAACGUCAAAGACUUUGUGUAGUUACCCCUUCGGGAAGUGGAAGCAAUGCUGUGAUAGCUCGUCAGAAUUUAGCAGGUUUCCAAGGCAGAGGAGCAAAUACUUGCCGAGAGCCAUUCUUCCAUCAGCCUCGAAUUCAUUUCUGCAAAAUACUGUGAUAGAAUAAUUCCGGGCAGUAAGUUUAGACUAAGAAAUUUUGUUGUGAAUUCUUUGUUCAGCCUUAGUUCAGCCAAUGCUGAACUUUUAAUGUAGACAAGGGUUGUUUCAGAAGAGUGGUGAGAUAUUGCAGCCUGGGCCUUCGACUCAUUAGCGCUCUGCUCCCCCGGCUCGCGGCCCUCAGCCGUGUGCAGCAGCGCGGCGUUAGCCCUGCGGUACACGAUACUGUGCAGGGCACAGCGGAUGGGCCCAGGAACGCGUGCCCUGCUGUGUUUUAUCUUGCUUAAUGAAUCUCGCUCUCUUCAGUAACUUUAUUGCCCUCUGUGUGUUCUGGGGUCCUUAAUUACUUUCUGCUUGGCAGCCAGGAUCCUUUUAUUAUUUUUAUAUUUAUAUUUUUAAAUAUUACCAGAUUCCCAAACCAUCGCUAUCCGCAGGCAGAAUGUCAUAAUAAUUGAACCACAAAGAAGGCAUAUGAAAAUGAAGACAAAAGGAUGAACUUAGUCAACCCUUCUUUCACCUCCAUAAAGAAAGAAGUUUAGAACUGGAGGCUCCACUAUAUUUUCCUGUUACCUUUAGAAGAUGGGCAUGAGACAUCUCCACAUCUGCUGAAUGUGUGCACAGGGCCUGUGGGCACAGACAAAAGGCCAAAGCUGGAGUCUAAAUCAAGACUUGGUGCGAGAUUAAACUGCUCAGUUGUAGUUACGGCCUUUGGCAAUAAGAUUUCUGUUGAAUUAUCCUCUCUUAGUGACGAUAUUUGCCCUCUGCUUUGAUUGCUAGGUUGCUUCUUAGUUUACCUGUGAUGACAAUGUUCUCUUCCCUGCUUUUGUGGCACGGUUGUUUAUUUUCACCACCUAAAGCAAACAUCCAAACUCAAAGCAAUUGCACCACUGAACUUCCAAACCAGCCAAAGCAGGUUUCCUCACGAGGCUCAGGACAUUCCUUCGUUCUUUGCACGUGUCUGCAGGAACUUCUAGUUUGUUGGGAACAUCGUACCAAAGUAGAAACAGUCCUGGGUUUCUACAUGCAAAAUGUUAACACAAAUAAAAUUACCGCGCUUAACCAGGAGGCUCUUAUGUAUGUGCACAUUGUAUUUAUUCACUGUAUCGGUACAAUAGAAGUGUUUAUGCUUUAGCUUCAUGACUGCACCUCUGGGCCUUCUGUCCUUCCGGAAAACUUGGUCUUCCUCAGUAAUCCUUGGGUAGUGAUCCCAAUGGCCACCUGUGUGUUGGACUCUCCUAUGCUCUGCCUGUGCUGUUAUAAAUGACUUCAUGAACUCAGUUUUCUUCUUAUAUGUUCUGAUUCCUUUCAUGUUUGCUGCCAAAUAUUGAGUUGAUGGCUGUGAUUCCAAUGUCAUCAGUUUGUGCUUUAUUUUCCUUUUCCUUUUUUGUUAUUAACAAGGAGUCUUGGUAUGUGGUGGGCUUUUUCUUCCUAAAUCUUCACUUCUAUUUGCAUGAGAAACUUAGCUUCCUGUGCUGUGCUACUGCAACGGAGGAGGCAGCGAGCAGCUCCCACGGGGACCGGCAAUCGCACCGCCUGCAUGUCCUUGUCUCAGAGUGAAGCAGCAAGUGCUCAUGUGAACAUCCUUCUGUUGGAGAGUAGAAACGCUGAACAGAACUGUUGUCUUCUAAGGAAAUCCUAUAAGAGCUCUGCAGACCACAAUGCUGGUGAACCUCCCCACGGCCAGGACCUGCACCACGUGCUGUGCCUUGCCUGGAGGUCUGUCCAAUGUCUGUCCUCUUUUUCCUUCUUGUGUUAGCGCCAAUAAAUGGUAAUUUAAGCAAUGCC